GAUGGGCCCGCGCCCGAUUAGCUAGUUGGUGAGGUAACGGCUCACCAAGGCAACGAUCGGUAACCGGCCUGAGAGGGCGAUCGGUCACACCGGAACUGAGACACGGUCCGGACUCCUACGGGAGGCAGCAGUGGGGAAUCUUGCGCAAUGGGCGAAAGCCUGACGCAGCAACGCCGCGUGGAGGAUGAAGGCCUUUGGGUUGUAAACUCCUGUCGGCUGGGAAGAAAUCGUACGGUGCUCAUACCACCGUGCGUUGACUGUACCAGCAAAGGAAGCCCCGGCUAACUCUGUGCCAGCAGCCGCGGUAAUACAGAGGGGGCCAGCGUUAUUCGGAAUUAUUGGGCGUAAAGGGCGCGUAGGCGGCCAUGCGUGUCUUCCGUGAAAUCCCUCGGCUUAACUGAGGACGUGCGGAAGAAACUGCAAGGCUCGAGUCCGGGAGAGGGGGGUGGAAUUCCCAGUGUAGCGGUGAAAUGCGUAGAUAUUGGGAGGAACACCGGUGGCGAAGGCGGCCCCCUGGACCGGUACUGACGCUGAGGCGCGAAAGCGUGGGUAGCAAACGGGAUUAGAUACCCCGGUAGUCCACGCCGUAAACGAUGGGCACUUGGUGU
This 608-nucleotide ribosomal RNA is filed under the name uncultured bacterium. Its description in RNAcentral is "bacterial SSU rRNA". It matches the Rfam family "Bacterial small subunit ribosomal RNA", at positions 224 to 823 of the family's 1533-position model. The record is from RNAcentral.